CGUGAGUAACCUGCCCCUGACUCUGGGAUAAGCCUUGGAAACGAGGUCUAAUACCGGAUACGUGACGCUCAGGCAUCUGAUGCGUCUGGAAAGAUUUAUCGGUCAGGGAUGGACUCGCGGCCUAUCAGCUUGUUGGUGGGGUAACGGCCUACCAAGGCGACGACGGGUAGCCGGCCUGAGAGGGCGACCGGCCACACUGGGACUGAGACACGGCCCAGACUCCUACGGGAGGCAGCAGUGGGGAAUAUUGCACAAUGGGCGCAAGCCUGAUGCAGCGACGCCGCGUGAGGGAUGAAGGCCUUCGGGUUGUAAACCUCUUUCAGCAGGGAAGAAGCGCAAGUGACGGUACCUGCAGAAGAAGCGCCGGCUAACUACGUGCCAGCAGCCGCGGUAAUACGUAGGGCGCAAGCGUUGUCCGGAAUUAUUGGGCGUAAAGAGCUCGUAGGCGGUUUGUMGCGUCUGCUGUGAAAACUCGAGGCUCAACC
RNAcentral lists this ribosomal RNA (485 nucleotides) under Cellulomonas sp. SFA8GKANTET. RNAcentral's name for it is "bacterial SSU rRNA". It matches the Rfam family "Bacterial small subunit ribosomal RNA", at positions 116 to 614 of the family's 1533-position model. Lineage: Bacteria; Bacillati; Actinomycetota; Actinomycetes; Micrococcales; Cellulomonadaceae. The record is from RNAcentral.